AUAUCCUAUAAAAAAAAGGGUGUUUAAGUAAAUGUUUACUUUGCCCAUCACAAAUGUGAAUUUCAGUCUACAAAGCUGGCCUUCUCAGUCAGCCUCUAACUGGGAUGCUUCCUUUGUCAAGCUUUGUUUAUGUUUACUCAGUUUAGGAGUAAAUAUUUCCAAGUACAUUUCCAAUAGGCCAUGGCAGACAGUCUUUAUUAAAUAGUGGUAUCUUGCAUGGACGGAUGGAAUAUCAGUGAGAAGAAACCCCAUAGAUAGUGAGGGCAUCCUGUGACAAUGGGAUUCCUUUAGCCAGGCUGUGCAAAUGAGGCAAGAUUACCCUUAGCCUGGUUACGAACUAGGCAGAGAUUGCAGCAACCAAACCUAAAGUCCAGCACAACCCAUGAGCAAAAGCUCUUGUACCAGGUCUGCUGGCUUGGGAGACAGAAGAGUGGUGUGAAGGCCUGCAAGGGCAUAGCAGAUGUCACUUGGGGCAUGUGCUCAUGCUCUGGUUCUAACUGGGCAGGUUUCUGAGCCUUUGGGCUCCCUCCUAAACCUGGAGCUCCUGCUCAAAGCUGAGGAAGAGAGAUGAAUCUGAGUUCCUGCACCCCAAAGGCAUGCUUGAAACCCUAAGUGAGUGAUUGAGGCAUGGAGCUGUCCACUCCUUGAGAGGGCAGCGAGGGGUGCAAGAAUUAACCUGAUUUUAAGCACAUGCAUUCCAGGAGAGAGCUCAGUUCUGUGGAUGUGAAGCAGACAGACACACCUGAAAGAGGGAGCACCAAUGCAGAACAACGAACUUGCCAUUAAGGGCUGCAUGAGAUGGCUCCUGCUCAAGGCAGGCAUCUGGCCACACUGGAAAGUCCAUGAGAUUUAAGUAGUAGCUACUGAGUCUGUGUCACACUGGCUGCAGGAUGUUCUGCGAGAAAAUUGGUUAUGUGAAGAGUGUGAGUUCAUGGGCUGAUAAAAAUCAGCUUUUAUCAGACCCCAUCCUGUGCGCAGUGGCUCUAUGUGGCAUGCAGAAGGAACAGUUCUCUGAACUGGUGUUUCUGUGUAUGUGUCACUGAAUUUCUGCUUGCAUCUAAAUGCACUUUGGGAAGAAUUUAACCUUUAAAUUUGAAAUAUGUUUUUUGCCAUUCUAACAGGAGACUGAAGUAGUGAAACCCUACAGCUUUCAGGGAUUUAGGAAGGAACACCAUGACUGGACAGGCCUGGUUAAGCAGUUAUUUGCCUCUGCAAGCAACUCAAACCUCCUUGUGGUCAGUUGCAGGAUGCCCAUGGAGAAGCAGAUGCACCAGACCCCUUGCAUGUAAAAUUCUCUUCCUUCCUUGUGCGGGGAGCUUGGAAGUGAGCAGGGUCAUCUGUCACUGCAUCUCUUGAAAGCAGUAAUGUCAUCACCCUAAGCACAGAACUGCUUUGAAAGAUCCUUGGAGUGGGUGCAAAGAUUCACUUGGUCAAAAAAAGGGAAGUUUUCUGAAUCAGUUGUUUCCCAUGUUAGGAUGA
Molecule: long non-coding RNA, 1479 nt
Organism: Neopsephotus bourkii (Bourke's parrot)
Lineage: Eukaryota; Metazoa; Chordata; Aves; Psittaciformes; Psittacidae
Exons: 3
Source: RefSeq, a predicted model, not a curated record